CCUACGGGUUGCAGCAGUAGGGAAUCUUCCACAAUGGGCGCAAGCCUGAUGCAGCAACACCGCGUGAGUGAAGAAGGGUUUCGGCUCGUAAAGCUCUGUUGUUGGAGAAGAACGUGCGUGAGAGUAACUGUUCACGCAGUGACGGUAUCCAACCAGCAAGUCACGUCUAACUACGUGCCAGCAGCCGCGGUAAUACGGAGGUGGCAAGCAUUACCCGGAAGUAUUGGGCGUAAAGCGAGCGCAGGCGGUUGCUUAGGUCUGAUGUGAAAGCCUACGGCUUAACCAAAGAAGUGCAUCGGAAACUGGGCGACUAGAGUGCAGAAGAGGACAGUGGAACUCCAGGUGUAGCGGUAGAAUGCGUAGAUAUAUGGAGGAACACCAGUGGCGAAGGCGGCUGGCUGGACUGCAACUGACGCUGAGGCUCGAAAGCAUGGGUAGCGAACAGGAUUAGAUACCCGUGUAGUC
Molecule: ribosomal RNA, 465 nt
Filed under: uncultured bacterium
Lineage: Bacteria
Description: partial 16S ribosomal RNA
Rfam family: Bacterial small subunit ribosomal RNA
Source: RNAcentral